CCUACGGGAGGCAGCAGUGGGGAAUAUUGGGCAAUGGACGCAAGCCUGACCCAGCAACGCCGCGUGCAGGAAGACGGCUUUCGGGUUGUAAACUUCUUUUUUCAGGGGAGAGUAUACGACGGUACCUGACGAGUAAGCAACGGCUAACUACGUGCCAGCAGCCGCGUUAAUACGUAGGUUGCAAGCGUUGUCCGGAUUUACUGGGUUUAAAGGGCGUGUAGCCGGGUCGAGAAGUCAGAUGUGAAAUCCUGUGGCUUAACCGCAGCACUGCAUUUGACACUGUUGAUCUUGAGUACUGGAGAGGCAGACGGAAUGCAUAGUGUAGCGGUGAAAUGCGUAGAGAUCAGGAGGAACACCAGUGGCGAAGGCGGUCU
This 374-nucleotide ribosomal RNA is filed under the name uncultured bacterium. RNAcentral describes it as "partial 16S ribosomal RNA". It matches the Rfam family "Bacterial small subunit ribosomal RNA", at positions 338 to 727 of the family's 1533-position model. The record is from RNAcentral.